CACGGAAUUAGCCGGUCCUUUUUCUGAAGGUACAUACAAGAAGGGACAAGUCCCUUUUUUAUUCCCAACUAAAAGCAGUUUACAACCCGGAGGGCCGUCAUCCUGCACGCUACUUGGCUGGUUCAGGCUCUCGCCCAUUGACCAAUAUUCCUCACUGCUGCCUCCCGUAGGAGUCUGGACCGUGUCUCAGUUCCAGUGUGGGGGACCUUCCUCUCAGAACCCCUACCGAUCGAAGGCUAGGUGGGCCGUUACCCCGCCUACUACCUAAUCGGACGCAUCACCAUCUCAUACCGAUAAAUCUUUGGUUACUCUCCCAUGCGAGAAAGCAACAACAUCGGGUAUUAAUCUUACUUUCGCAAGGCUAUCCCCGAGUAUGAGGCAGGUUUGAUACGCGUUACGCACCCGUGCGCCGGUCGCCGGCAUUGAAAGCAAGCUUUCAACCCGCUGCCCCUCGACUUGCAUGUGUUAAGCCUGUAGCUAGCGUUCAUCCUGAGCCAGGAUCAAACUCU
RNAcentral lists this ribosomal RNA (509 nucleotides) under uncultured Prevotellaceae bacterium. RNAcentral's name for it is "partial 16S ribosomal RNA". The record is from RNAcentral. Lineage: Bacteria; Pseudomonadati; Bacteroidota; Bacteroidia; Bacteroidales; Prevotellaceae.